AAUUAAAGUGCGUCAUUAGUAUAUUAACGAAAAUACUUUUUUUGUUUAAGACGAAGGUGUAUUGAGAAAAAACGGAAGAGAUGCGAAUAAUUGCAAUUGCAAGUUGCAACAACUUAAGAGAUCAUUAGAUCAAGUACGUCCAAUGUGCCCCGAAGAUUUGGUGAGAAAAAGCUUUCAUAAUAUUUUAGGGAAUUGGACAUGUUUAGGCACUUUUACAAACUUUUAUUCCUUUUGAAACACUUCUCACCUACAAGGCACUUUUCCUUGUUUUUGAAAAAUAAAUGGACAAUUAUAUCCCCACCCAUCUAAACCAAAAAUUUACUUAACCGGUUAAAAAGGUUUUGUUUUGAUUUGGUUCCCUUCUAAUAAAUCGACAGUUGAUAUUUACAGAUGAGAAAAGGAAGUUACCUUCGCCGACUGAAAUUAUCUCACAAUAUCAAUGUCGAUGGUUGUUAAUUCUUCCGACCAAGCAAUUACUAUGGAAAGUCUCGGAAUCUCCAGGUCACUGUUUCUUGAAUUGGUUAAUAUUACUGUGCAACGAUCUCUCUCCCUUCAAACAAAACCUCUGGAACAAUUUAAAUUGAGUUGCCUCCGGCUUAACCAAGGCAUUGUGACGAUGUUUUUUGCAGCGAAUUAACCGCCACUGUGAUUGGAGAGAUGACGUAGAAGUCGAUUAGGAAUCUCCCCCUGAUUCGGGUUAUCGUUUGGAUCUGACUCUGUUUCUGCAUCGUCUCCUCCGGAAGAAGUUUUAAAAAGGAAACGACCUACAAGGCUUGAUAUACCGAUUGGUGUUGAUGGAUUUGUAACUCCGAUUUUUUCAUCGGCUGAUGUAACUGUGACGUCGAGGGAGGAAUGUAGAGAGGUUGAAAGAGAAGAUAAUGAUUAUUCUGUUUAUUGUAAGAGAGGAAGAAGAGAAGCUAGAGAGGUUGUGUCAAGUUGGGCUCCAGUGAUAAUGUUAGAUGAGCAAACAAAAAAGUGCUAAUUUUAUCGAUCUAUAAACACAUUCGCAGCAAAUCAAAGACAUACUUGUCCAUUAAUGAUUGUCCAAGUAGUCCAGUCCAUAUGGUCAUCAAAUGACUCACAUGGUAGUUUCAUACUAAUACAUAAGUUUAUACAUAAACAAUAAACGUCAAUCCAAAGUACAUUAUCCAUGUCUAUUUGACCAUUUAUCCACAUGUGUAUAGACAUGUUGAGACAAUUUUAUCGAGUUAUAAACACAUUCACAGCAAAUCAAAGACAGACUUGUCCAUUAAUGAUUGUCCAAGCAGUCCAGUACAUAUGGUCAUCUAAUAAGUCAUAUGGUAGUUUCAUACUAAUACAUAAGUUUAUACAUGAACAAUAAACAUCAAUCCAAAGUACAUUAUCCAUGUUUCUUUGACCAUUUAUCCACAUGUAUAUAGACAUGUUGAUACAAUUUUAUCGAGAUAUAAACACAUUCGCAGCAAAUCAAAGACAUACUUAUCCAUUAAUGAUUGUCCAAGCAGUCCAGUCCAUGAUCAUCUAAAGACUCACAUGAUAGUUUCAUACUAAUACAUAAGUUUAUACAUGAACAAUAAACGUCAAUCCAAAGUAUAUUAUCCAUGUUUCUUUGACCAUUUAUCCACAUGUGUAUAGACAGUCAGUUAUGUAGACCUCAGUCAGUUAAGGAACUUCUCCAAAUCUGCCAACAUCUCUACAUAUUUUAAUGUAGACGUAAUAGGUUGGUUUGAGGAUAUGAGGACACCGUCAACAAUGAGGAGAUAAGCAAGCCGAAGUCUAUGGUAAGAAGAUAAGGUCUUGUGAUUAACAUUUUUGAAAUAUCACCUAACGUAGCAUUUAUGUCUUCACCUAUUAGCUCUUCACAAUGUUGGAUAUUAUAAAUAAAAUUAGCACACGAUUGAAUAAUUGGAGCAAAUAAAAUGAUUGGAGAAGAUUAAUACCUUACAUUUGAGGACCGAGUAGAAGUUACUAGCACACGCCGGAGACGACGAAUCGAUUGAGAGACAAGAAAAUGAAGACGAUGACGGGAGAACAACUGUUGACGACGACGACGGGAGAGGACGAAUUAAUGUCAGCCGAUUGAAAGCUUUGUUGACGAUAACGACGGGAGAGGGACGAGGAAAUGACUUUGCCGGUAGAAAACUCGUCGGGAUGAUCGCCGGAGUCGAGAUGAUGUUAUCGGCGUUGUGAUGAUUUUAACUGCCCAGAUAAAUGAAACUGUAAAAUCGUCGUGAAGAAUUGGGUGAGAAAGAGAAGUUUCUCACAAAUUGGUUUUAGUUUAGAGAUUGAGAUUAAAAAAUUAAACCGAAAACCGGCUAAAUUUGUUAGGUUUUGUUAAACAAACGAUUUCAGGGUAAAAGGGUAAUUCUACUGAGUUAAAGUGACUAAUGCUUUUAAAGUGCCUAUUUGUGGCCAAAGUUUCGAAAUAGUGUCUUUACGUGUAAUAUUCUCAAUAUUUUAUUAUUUCUUAUAAGAACUAAAGAUCGAACAAUUAUUUUGACUCCAAAAAAAUUCUUCUCUCGUAAAGUACUUGUUUUUCAUCGUCAGUUUGAAGAUUAGAUUAAUUACAUCAUAAGAGUUUCUGAUAUAAUUACGAGAUAAAAUCUCAAUUCUCAAAAGUGACCAGACAUAUUUAGUUUGGUCGUUGUGUCUUGUGUGGAACUGGCCAUAGUACCAAAAAUAAUGACAAAUAACUUAAUCAUGUCUAUAAAUCCAUAUUUUGGUGUUAAUCUAGAUUCUGUCCGGACAAAUUCUGCUGUUAUGCAAGUCUCUGUUGAAUCGUCAAAGUUUAUUCUUCAACCCCAACACGCAAAGAGCAGGAUUGAUGUCCAGAGAAUUGAAUAAAUAAGAUUUCAGACAUGGUGUUAUAAGUUAAAAGGAUAUCAAUUGAAACCUAUAAAAAACUCCUAGCAUAAGUUGAAUGCACCAAAAUCAAGAUGGCAAACCCUAUUUUUUUCUCUACCAAAUUGACUACUACCUUGAAGCUUUGAUAUGACUCUCACAAUUGGUAUCAGAGCUUCUAUUUAGAAGCUUUGAUACCAAUUGUUAGGUUUAGGUUCAAAUCAAAGCUUCAAGGUACAAGUCAAUAAACAAAAUGAUUUCUUCUUUUUAUUUUCUAAAGAAGAGAAACUUUAGCAAAGACAAUAUGAAGAAGAAUUGAGGAAGAAAGAGAACUGCAGGUAACCCUAAACUAAUUUUAUUGAUCUUCAUAACAUGUCUAUAUAUAUGAGUCUACAUCUUAGAAUAAACCUAAUUACUUGGAAAGGAAACAUGGAUUAAUGGGCUUGUAUUGACUUGUCAUGUGUCACAUAGUUGGGUUUCAACACUUUACAUACACAACACACAUGCAAAGCGGAUCCACAAAAGAUUAUACAUAAAACGGAACUCAAAGAUAUUUGGAAAAAAUCUAGUCCUACUUGACAAGGACCGAUUCUU
This 3414-nucleotide small RNA is filed under the name Arabidopsis thaliana (thale cress). Its description in RNAcentral is "ATSL025300". The record is from RNAcentral. Lineage: Eukaryota; Viridiplantae; Streptophyta; Magnoliopsida; Brassicales; Brassicaceae.